Molecule: ribosomal RNA, 573 nt
Filed under: uncultured bacterium
Lineage: Bacteria
Description: partial 16S ribosomal RNA
Rfam family: Bacterial small subunit ribosomal RNA
Source: RNAcentral
UGGGGAAUUUUGGACAAUGGGGGCAACCCUGAUCCAGCCAUCCCGCGUGUGCGAUGAAGGCCUUCGGGUUGUAAAGCACUUUUGGCAGGGAAGAAACAGCCUGGGAUAAUACCCCGGGCGACUGACGGUACCUGCAGAAUAAGCACCGGCUAACUACGUGCCAGCAGCCGCGGUAAUACGUAGGGUGCAAGCGUUAAUCGGAAUUACUGGGCGUAAAGCGUGCGCAGGCGGUUCGGAAAGAAAGGUGUGAAAUCCCAGGGCUUAACCUUGGAACUGCACUUUUAACUACCGAGCUAGAGUACGUCAGAGGGGGGUAGAAUUCCACGUGUAGCAGUGAAAUGCGUAGAGAUGUGGAGGAAUACCGAUGGCGAAGGCAGCCCCCUGGGAUGAUACUGACGCUCAUGCACGAAAGCGUGGGGAGCAAACAGGAUUAGAUACCCUGGUAGUCCACGCCCUAAACGAUGUCAACUAGUUGUUGGGGAUUCAUUUUCCUUAGUAACGUAGCUAACGCGUGAAAGUUGACCGCCUGGGGGAGUACGGUCGCAAGAUUAAAACUUAAAUGAAUUGACGGGG